This 85-nucleotide transfer RNA is filed under the name Felis catus (domestic cat). It matches the Rfam family "tRNA". Rfam says of the family: Transfer RNA (tRNA) molecules are approximately 80 nucleotides in length. Their secondary structure includes four short double-helical elements and three loops (D, anti-codon, and T loops). Lineage: Eukaryota; Metazoa; Chordata; Mammalia; Carnivora; Felidae. The record is from Rfam by way of RNAcentral. RNAcentral also lists the same sequence under 5 other names.
GCCUGGGUGGCUCAAUCAGUUAAGCAUCUGACUUUGGCUCAGGUCAUGAUCUCACAGUUUGUGGGUUCAAGUCCUACACUGGGCA